UGCCAACAAUCAAUUCUCCAUCACAAGAUCAGAAAUACCAAAAUACUGCAACCCGACCCUCCAUCACAAGGUCAGAAAUACCAAAAUGCCAACAAUCGACUCUACAUCACAAGGUCAGAAAUAAUACAAUACUGACACCCGACCCUCCAUCACAAAGUCAGAAAUACAAAAAUACCGACAACCGACCCUCAAUCACAAGGUCAGAAAUGACAAAAUACCAACAACUGACCCGCUAUCACAAGGUCAGAAAUACCAAAAUACCAACAACUGACCCGACAUCACAAGGUCAGAAAUACCAAAAUACUGACACGUGACCCUCCAUCACAAGGUCAGAAAUGACAAAAUACAGACAACCGACCCUCCAUCACAAAGUCAGAAAUACCAAAAUACCAACAACCGACCCUCCAUCACAAGGUCAGAAAUACCAAAAUACUGACAGCCGACCCUCCAUCUCACGGUCAGAAAUACCAAAAUACUGACAACUGACCCUCCAUCACAAGAUCAGAAAUACCAAAAUACCAACAACCGACCCUCCAUCACAAGGUCAGACAUACCAAAAUGCCAACAAUCGACUCUACAUCAGAAGGUCAGAAAUAACAAAAUACUGACCACCGGCCCUCCAUCACAAGGUCAGAAAUACCAAAAUACCAUCAACCGUCCCUCCAUCACAAGGUCAGAAAUACCAAAAUACUGACACCCGACCCUCCAUCACAAGGUCAGGAAUACCAAAAUACCGACAACUGACCCUCCAUCACAAGGUCAGGAAUACCAAAAUACCAACAUCCGACCAUCCAUUACAAGGUCAGAAAUAACAAAAUACCAACAACCGACUCUCCAUCACAGGGUCAGAAAUACCAAAAUACCAACAACCGACUCUCCAUCACAAGGUCAGAAAUACCAAAAUGAAGACACCCGA
This is a non-coding RNA of Chiloscyllium plagiosum (whitespotted bambooshark), 916 nucleotides long. The record is from RefSeq and is a predicted model, not a curated record. NCBI's taxonomy places the organism in Eukaryota, Metazoa, Chordata, Chondrichthyes, Orectolobiformes, Hemiscylliidae.